UACGAAGGGGGCAAGCGUUGUUCGGAAUUACUGGGCGUAAAGGGCUCGUAGGCGGCUUAUCAAGUCAGGCGUGAAAUUCCCGGGCUCAACCUGGGGGCUGCGCUUGAUACUGAUGAGCUUGAAUGCGGGAGAGGAUAGUGGAAUUCCCAGUGUAGAGGUGAAAUUCGUAGAUAUUGGGAAGAACACCAGUGGCGAAGGCGGCUCACUGGCCCGAUACUGACGCUGAGGCACGAAAGCGUGGGGAGCAAACAGG
RNAcentral lists this ribosomal RNA (253 nucleotides) under uncultured bacterium. Its description in RNAcentral is "partial 16S ribosomal RNA". It matches the Rfam family "Bacterial small subunit ribosomal RNA", at positions 524 to 776 of the family's 1533-position model. The record is from RNAcentral.